CUCCCAUCCAAGUACUAACCAGGCCCGACCCUGCUUAGCUUCCGAGAUCAGACGAGAUCGGGCGCAUUCAGGGUGG
RNAcentral lists this small RNA (76 nucleotides) under Cricetulus griseus (Chinese hamster). The record is from RNAcentral. Lineage: Eukaryota; Metazoa; Chordata; Mammalia; Rodentia; Cricetidae.